This 497-nucleotide ribosomal RNA is filed under the name uncultured bacterium. RNAcentral's name for it is "partial 16S ribosomal RNA". It matches the Rfam family "Bacterial small subunit ribosomal RNA", at positions 28 to 507 of the family's 1533-position model. The record is from RNAcentral.
GAUGAACGCUGGCGGCGUGCCUAAUACAUGCAAGUCGAGCGAACGGACGAGAAGCUUGCUCCUCUGAUGUUAGCGGCGGACGGGUGAGUAACACGUGGAUAACAUACCUAUAAGACUGGGAUAACUUCGGGAAACCGUAGCUAAUACCGGAUAAUAUUUUGUACCGCAUGGUUCAAAAGUGAAAGACGGUCUUGCUGUCACUUAUAGAUGGAUCCGCGCUGCAUUAGCUAGUUGGUAAGGUAACGGCUUACCAAGGCAACGAUGCAUAGCCGACCUGAGAGGAUGAUCGGCCACACUGGAACUGAGACACGGUCCAGACUCCUACGGGAGGCAGCAGUAGGGAAUCUUCCACAAUGGGCGAAAGCCUGACGGAGCAACGCCGCGUGAGUGAUGAAGGUCUUCGGAUCGUAAAACUCUGUUAUUAGGGAAGAACAUAUGUGUAAGUAACUGUGCACAUCUUGACGGUACCUAAUCAGAAAGCCACGGCUAACUUCGUG